RNAcentral lists this ribosomal RNA (254 nucleotides) under uncultured bacterium. RNAcentral describes it as "partial 16S ribosomal RNA". It matches the Rfam family "Bacterial small subunit ribosomal RNA", at positions 524 to 776 of the family's 1533-position model. The record is from RNAcentral.
UACGUAGGCAGCGAGCGUUGUUCGGAGUUACUGGGCGUAAAGGGUGUGUAGGCGGUUCUCUAAGUUUGGUGUGAAAUCUCCCGGCUCAACCGGGAGGGUGCGCCGAAAACUGGAGGGCUAGAGUGCGGGAAGGGAGAGUAGAAUUCCUGGUGUAGCGGUGAAAUGCGUAGAUAUCAGGAGGAAUACCGGUGGUGCAGACGGCUCUCUGGACCGCGACUGACGCUGAGACACGAAAAGCGUGGGUAGCAAACAGG